CAUAGCUUAACUUCUAACUUUAUAAAUAGACUUUGAAGAAAUUCUACAAAGAUGCUAUAAUUUCCUGACUUAAGUUAAUUUUAAAGGUUAACAUGUUGUUAUUCUAUUUCAAUGGAGGUGAAAAUGAGUUUGGGACCAUGGCAAUUAUUUCUAAUCCUUAUGAUAAUUUUAGUUCUUUUUGGUGCAGGUAGAUUGCCACAAGUAAUGGGUGACCUAGGAAAAGGCAUCAAAAAUCUCAAGCAAGAACUUAAGGAUUCAGAAAAAUCAUCAUCUCACGAGCCAGAUCGUUAGCUUAUCUUUUUUUUAUUUUGUAACACGUACUCUAAGUACGUGUUACUUAUUUCCGCUUAUAACUAAAUAAAAUUCAAACAAUGAAGUAGGAUUUCUCGUUAACAAAAUGAAAUAUUAAAGUUGCAGUAUAAUAGUAAUUAUGUUAAAAGUUGCUUUUCUAACAAUUUCCUGUGCCAAAAAAUAAAAAUUU
Molecule: non-coding RNA, 481 nt
Organism: Cinara cedri
Lineage: Eukaryota; Metazoa; Arthropoda; Insecta; Hemiptera; Aphididae
Source: the annotation of a GenBank genome assembly